RNAcentral lists this long non-coding RNA (1198 nucleotides) under Bemisia tabaci. RNAcentral's name for it is "lncRNA ENSSSA2NGG007237". Lineage: Eukaryota; Metazoa; Arthropoda; Insecta; Hemiptera; Aleyrodidae. The record is from RNAcentral.
AUGGUACCCGGCGAUGGAUGUUCUCUGAGAGAUCCGGAAGAUAUUGAAAAGGAUCUCAAACGUUGGAAAAUUAUCCCUGACCUCUUGGAUGAGGCUCCAAACGAGGCGGUUCAGGUGGAGUGGAUUGAGGGCCUUGAACCGCUCUUCGGAAACGAAAUUAAUUCGACUAUUACAAAAAGAGAGCCCUUUUGGGCGUGUUGGAAUUCAAAUGAAACGGAGUUCCACACGAUGAUAUUACAGGUAGGUAAUUAGAUUUUUUCGAGGUUUGCCGAUUCAGGUUCACCGGCGUUAUUUUUUUUCGAUUUUUGUUCUUUUUAGGGGUGGUUGGGUAAUGGAUGGACAGGCACAGAUACAACAUUCGGGAAUGAAAUUAUUGACCCGGAAAUUACAAAGGAGGAACCUUUCUGGUUAGAGUCUAAAAAUCGUAAUGAUACAUUUCUCAGUAUGAAAAUGGUGGGUUAGCAGAAUUUGCUCCAUGAAUACCUAUCUCCACCGAGAUAUCUGCAUUCAACCGCCACCAUAACCUAACCCAAAGCUCCUUAACUUCAAAAUCGAAAACUUCAAUUUUUCAGCGACUUAUCGGUCUGAAAGUAAGACCUUUUUCAUGGUGAAAAAGCUAAGAGUAUGGGCAUUACAUUUAAAAUUGUGCAGCUUGGAUAGGGUUUGAAAGAGGGAAAUUAAAAAACAUCUGUUCUGGAUGAUCUACGUAUUUCUUUGCAGCACGAUGGAAGUAUGUGCAACUGAAAAUUGGUUCUUAAUAUUAAAUUAGAGCAAGAACGAAAACAGUGUAUGAUUUUCAAAGGCUUUAGCUCUUUAAACGCCUGGGAUAAACUCAAUAUAAUUUUUAUUGAAGCUGCACCGAGAAAAUUACGGUAAAUUAUAUGAUUCUCACCUUCUCCUGUGUCAUAUUUUUUACACUCGUCACUUUCAAAGCCGAGCUAUUCCUUGUUGUGCAUGCAGUCACAUGCACCAAAUUUCUUUAAUACAUAGUCUUGCCGAGGAAAAAUUAAGGCAUUCGUUAAGUUUAACGUGAACAAGUAAAAUAGAUGGUUGUAUUGCAGGUAUCGAUCAAAAUUUUAAGGAACAAACAUUGGGCAGAGAAAAACAAUUUGGAUCGUCGGAAACAUAAGAGACUAUGAUUUUCUUGGGGGAGAGUUUUUGACCGAAUACAUGGGCCCAGAUCCACCGGAGGGCAAAG